UACGGAGGGUGCGAGCGUUGUCCGGAAUCAUUGGGCGUAAAGGGUACGUAGGCGGGCUUUUAAGUGAGGUGUGAAAUCCCCGGGCUUAACCUGGGAAUAGCAUUCCAGACUGGGAGUCUAGAGUACUUUAGGGAGGGGUAGAAUUCCACGUGUAGCGGUGAAAUGCGUAGAGAUGUGGAGGAAUACCGAAGGCGAAGGCAGCCCCUUGGGAAUGUACUGACGCUCAUGUGCGAAAGCGUGGGGAGCAAACAGG
RNAcentral lists this ribosomal RNA (253 nucleotides) under uncultured bacterium. Its description in RNAcentral is "partial 16S ribosomal RNA". It matches the Rfam family "Bacterial small subunit ribosomal RNA", at positions 524 to 776 of the family's 1533-position model. The record is from RNAcentral.